GACGAACGCUGGCGGCGUGCUUAACACAUGCAAGUCGAACGGAAAGGCCCCCUUGUGGGGUACUCGAGUGGCGAACGGGUGAGUAACACGUGAGUAACCUACCCUUGACUUUGGGAUAACUUCAGGAAACUGGGGCUAAUACCGGAUAGGAGCUCCUGCUGCAUGGUGGGGGUUGGAAAGUUUCGGCGGUUGGGGAUGGACUCGCGGCUUAUCAGCUUGUUGGUGGGGUAGUGGCUCACCAAGGGUUUGACGGGUAGCCGACCUUGGGAGGGGACCGGCCCCAAGUGGCCUGAGGUACGGACCAGACGCCAAUGGGGGGCAAUAGGGGGGAACAUGACACAGUGGGGCGGAGUCUGAGAUGACGACCCCGCGUGCGGGAUGACGGCCUUCGGGUUGUAAACCGCUUUCGCCUGAGACGAAGCGUGAGUGACGGUAAUGGGUAAAGAAGCACCGGCUAACUACGUG
RNAcentral lists this ribosomal RNA (465 nucleotides) under uncultured bacterium. Its description in RNAcentral is "partial 16S ribosomal RNA". It matches the Rfam family "Bacterial small subunit ribosomal RNA", at positions 28 to 507 of the family's 1533-position model. The record is from RNAcentral.